Molecule: ribosomal RNA, 398 nt
Filed under: bacterium
Lineage: Bacteria
Description: bacterial SSU rRNA
Rfam family: Bacterial small subunit ribosomal RNA
Source: RNAcentral
CACGCCGCGUGAGCGAUGAAGGCCUUCGGGUCGUAAAGCUCUGUUGUUAGGGAAGAACAAGUACCAGAGUAACUGCUGGUACCUUGACGGUACCUAACCAGAAAGCCACGGCUAACUACGUGCCAGCAGCCGCGGUAAUACGUAGGUGGCAAGCGUUGUCCGGAAUUAUUGGGCGUAAAGCGCGCGCAGGCGGUCCUUUAAGUCUGAUGUGAAAGCCCACGGCUCAACCGUGGAGGGUCAUUGGAAACUGGGGGACUUGAGUACAGAAGAGGAAAGUGGAAUUCCACGUGUAGCGGUGAAAUGCGUAGAGAUGUGGAGGAACACCAGUGGCGAAGGCGACUUUCUGGUCUGUAACUGACGCUGAGGCGCGAAAGCGUGGGGAGCAAACAGGAUUAGUC